AAACAUUGCCUCCAGCCCACCUAUUGAAGGUAACUCUGCCCAGUGACACAUUUCAACGGCCGCGGUAUCCUGACCGUGCGAAGGUAGCACAAUAACGAGCCUCCUAAUUAGAGGAUAGAAUGAAUGAAUCAACGAAAAAGUUACUGUCUCAUAUUUACUACUUGAAAUUUAUCUAAUGGUGAAAAAGCCAGUAUCCAAAUUAAAGACAAGAAGACCCUACAAGCUUUUUCCAAAUCUAAUAUAACCAAUUAUAUUACCAUUUAGUUGGGGCGACUAAAAGAUCAAAACACUUUAAAUUACUAAGAGACAUAUCUCAAUCCACUUAUCCAAAAACACUCAAGCAAGCUACUGUAGGGAUAACAGGCUAAUACUUUCCAAGAGUACGCAUCAACGAAAGUGCUUGGCACCUCGAUGUUGGCUUAGGGUGUCUAUCUCGUGCAGAAAUGAGAAAAGAAGGUUUGUUCAACCAUUAAUCCCCUACGUGAU
RNAcentral lists this ribosomal RNA (486 nucleotides) under Syllis malaquini. Its description in RNAcentral is "partial 16S ribosomal RNA". It matches the Rfam family "Bacterial large subunit ribosomal RNA", at positions 1811 to 2604 of the family's 2925-position model. The record is from RNAcentral. Lineage: Eukaryota; Metazoa; Annelida; Polychaeta; Phyllodocida; Syllidae.